This 76-nucleotide transfer RNA is filed under the name Vibrio parahaemolyticus. RNAcentral's name for it is "tRNA-Asn". It matches the Rfam family "tRNA". From Rfam's summary of the family: Transfer RNA (tRNA) molecules are approximately 80 nucleotides in length. Their secondary structure includes four short double-helical elements and three loops (D, anti-codon, and T loops). The record is from RNAcentral. Lineage: Bacteria; Pseudomonadati; Pseudomonadota; Gammaproteobacteria; Vibrionales; Vibrionaceae.
UCCUCCUUAGCUCAGUUGGUAGAGCGACGGACUGUUAAUCCUAGGUUCGCUGGUUCGAGCCCAGCAGGAGGAGCCA